RNAcentral lists this ribosomal RNA (1094 nucleotides) under Brachycephalus clarissae. RNAcentral's name for it is "partial 16S ribosomal RNA". It matches the Rfam family "Bacterial large subunit ribosomal RNA", at positions 843 to 2633 of the family's 2925-position model. Lineage: Eukaryota; Metazoa; Chordata; Amphibia; Anura; Brachycephalidae. The record is from RNAcentral.
UGAUAGCUGGUUUCUCAAGAAAAGAAUCUUAGUUCACCCUAAAGCCCACAUAAUAAUAUAAAUAACAACACAACUUUAGAGCAAUCCAAACAAGGGACAGCCUGUUUGAAAAAGGAUACAACCUUCACUCGCGGGUAAUGAUACUCACUAUAACACCAAGUAGACCUAAAACCAGCCAUCUUAGUAAAAUGCGUUAAAGCUUUAUCUUAUACCACUCUUUCUCUUUUCCCACCCCCGAAUCACUAUUGAGAACUUCUAUACCGUAUAGAAACUUUUAUGUUAAAACUAGUAACAAGAACCAAUUCUCUUAAAUACACGUGUAUGUUAGGGCGAACUCACCACUAACACUUAUCUGCCAUGAAAAACAAUAGCAACUCCCUAAGAAAACCCUAUUAAUUAUUUUGUUAACCCUACACAAGAGUACUUCAAGAAAGAUAAAAAUGGAAAGAAGGAACUCGGCAAAAUGGGGGAUCCCGCCUGUUUACUAAAAACACCGCCUCUUGACUACCAUAAGAGGUCCAGCCUGCCCAGUGAGAAAUUCAACGGCCGCGGUAACCUGACCGUGCAAAGGUAGCGUAAUCACUUGUUCUUUAAAUGAGGACUAGUAUGAAUGGCACCACGAGGGUUACACUGUCUCCUUUUUUUAAUCAGUGAAACUAAUCUUCCCGUGAAGAAGCGGGAAUUUUUUUAUAAGACGAGAAGACCCUAUGGAGCUUUAAACAAAUUAACACUUGCUGCCUAAAACAACCCUUCCAGAAACACAACACACAGCAUAGCAUUAUGAUUAAUAGUUUUAGAUUGGGGUGAUCACGGAGUAAAAAAUAACCUCCAUGCCGAAAGGAGCCUUCCUGAGCAAAAAGCCACAACUUUAAGCACUAAAAAAUUAACGUUUAUUGACCCAAUAUUUUGAUCAACGAACCAAGUUACCCUAGGGAUAACAGCGCAAUCCACUUCAAGAGCUCCUAUCGACAAGUGGGUUUACGACCUCGAUGUUGGAUCAGGGUGUCCCAGUGGUGCAGCCGCUACUAACGGUUCGUUUGUUCAACGAUUAAAACCCUACGUGAUCUGAGUUCAGACCGGAGUAAUCCAGGUCA